UUGACCUCGGAUCAGGUAGGGAUUCCCGCUGAACUUAAGCAUAUCAAUAA
This 50-nucleotide ribosomal RNA is filed under the name Ophiocordyceps sinensis. Its description in RNAcentral is "partial 25S ribosomal RNA". Lineage: Eukaryota; Fungi; Ascomycota; Sordariomycetes; Hypocreales; Ophiocordycipitaceae. The record is from RNAcentral.